AGAGUUUGAUCCUGGCUCAGAAUCAACGCUGGCGGCGUGCCUAACACAUGCAAGUCGCACGAGAAAGGGUAGCAAUACCUGAGUACAGUGGCGCACGGGUGAGUAACACGUGAAUUAUCUACCUUCGAGUGGGGAAUAACUGGGAGAAAUCUCAGCUAAUACCGCAUAACACUUACGAGUCAAAGCAGCAAUGCGCUUGAAGAGGAGUUCGCGGCAGAUUAGUUAGUUGGCGGGGUAAUGGCCCACCAAGACGAUGAUCUGUAUCCGGCCUGAGAGGGCGCACGGACACACUGGAACUGAAACACGGUCCAGACUCCUACGGGAGGCAGCAGUGGGGAAUUUUGCGCAAUGGGGGAAACCCUGACGCAGCAACGCCGCGUGGAGGAUGAAAUCCCUUGGGAUGUAAACUCCUUUCGAUCGGGACGAUUAUGACGGUACCGGAAGAAGAAGCCCCGGCUAACUUCGUGCCAGCAGCCGCGGUAAUACGAGGGGGGCAAGCGUUGUUCGGAAUUAUUGGGCGUAAAGGGCGCGUAGGCGGUUUGACAAGUCUGAUGUGAAAUCUCUGGGCUCAACCCAGAGUCUGCAUUAGAAACUGUCGGGCUUGAGUAUGGGAGAGGUGAGUGGAAUUUCCGGUGUAGCGGUGAAAUGCGUAGAUAUCGGAAGGAACACCUGUGGCGAAAGCGGCUCACUGGACCAUAACUGACGCUGAUGCACGAAAGCUAGGGGAGCAAACAGGAUUAGAUACCCUAGUAGUCC
Molecule: ribosomal RNA, 756 nt
Filed under: uncultured bacterium
Lineage: Bacteria
Description: bacterial SSU rRNA
Rfam family: Bacterial small subunit ribosomal RNA
Source: RNAcentral